RNAcentral lists this ribosomal RNA (484 nucleotides) under uncultured bacterium. RNAcentral's name for it is "bacterial SSU rRNA". It matches the Rfam family "Bacterial small subunit ribosomal RNA", at positions 20 to 518 of the family's 1533-position model. The record is from RNAcentral.
UGGCUCAGGACGAACGCUGGCGGCGUGCCUAACACAUGCAAGUCGAGCGAGGAGAUUCCUUCGGGAUGAUCCUAGCGGCGGACGGGUGAGUAACACGUGGGCAACCUGCCUCAUAGAGAGGAAUAGCCUUCCGAAAGGGAGAUUAAUACCUCAUAACAUUGCAGUUUCGCAUGGAACAGCAAUUAAAGGAGUAAUCCGCUAUGAGAUGGGCCCGCGGCGCAUUAGCUAGUUGGUGAGGUAACGGCUCACCAAGGCGACGAUGCGUAGCCGACCUGAGAGGGUGAUCGGCCACAUUGGGACUGAGACACCGGCCCAGACUCCGUACGGGAGGCAGCAGGUGGGGAAUAUUGCACAAUGGGGAAACCCUGAUGCCAGCAACGCCGCGUGAGUGAUGACGGCCUUCGGGUUGUAAAGCUCUGUCUUCAGGGACGAUAAUGACGGUACCUGAGGAGGAAGCCACGGCUAACUACGUGCCAGCCGCGGC